GAUGAACGCUGGCGGCGUGCCUAAUACAUGCAAGUCGAGCGAACAGACGAGGAGCUUGCUCCUCUGACGUUAGCGGCGGACGGGUGAGUAACACGUGGAUAACCUACCUAUAAGACUGGGAUAACUUCGGGAAACCGGAGCUAAUACCGGAUAAUAUAUUGAACCGCAUGGUUCAAUAGUGAAAGACGGUUUUGCUGUCACUUAUAGAUGGAUCCGCGCCGCAUUAGCUAGUUGGUAAGGUAACGGCUUACCAAGGCGACGAUGCGUAGCCGACCUGAGAGGGGGAUCGGCCACACUGGAACGGGGACACGUCCCAAACCCCAAGGGGAGGCCGCGGUAGGGAAUUUUCCGAAAUGGGGGAAAGCCUGACGGAGCAACGCCGGGGGGGGGAGAAAGGGCUUCGGAUCUUAAAACUCUUUUAUUGGGGAAAAAAAAAUGGGUAAGUAACUAUGCAGGUCUUGACGGUACCAAAUCAGAAAGCCCCGGCUAACUACGG
This 496-nucleotide ribosomal RNA is filed under the name uncultured bacterium. RNAcentral's name for it is "partial 16S ribosomal RNA". It matches the Rfam family "Bacterial small subunit ribosomal RNA", at positions 28 to 506 of the family's 1533-position model. The record is from RNAcentral.